ACCCGUUGAUCCUGCGGGAGGUUGCUGCUAUUAGGGUUCGACUAAGCCAUGCAAGUCGGAGGGCCUCUUCGGAGGCACAGGCAAAAUGCUCAGUAACACGUCAAUAAUCUGCCCUUAGAUCUGGCAUAACCUCGGAAAACUGAGGCUAAAACCGGAUAGGUGAAGGAUACUGGAAUGUACCCUCACCCAAAAGCAAUGUCUAAGGAUGAGUUGGCGGCUGAUUAGGUUGUUGGCGGGGUAAAGGCCCACCAAGCCUAUGAUCAGUAGGGGCCUUGAGAGAGGUAGCCCCGAGAAGGGCACUGAGAUACUGGUCCUAGCUCUACGGAGUGCAGCAGGCGCGAAACCUUUACAAUGCACGAAAGUGUGAUAAGGGGACCCUAAGUGCUUUUGCUUUGCAAAGGCUUUUGUUAAAAGUAAAUAUUUUAGCGAAUAAGUGGUGGGAAAGACUGGUGCCAGCCGCCGCGGUAACACCAGCGCCACGAGUGGCAACCAUUAUUAUUGGGCCUAAAGCGUCCGUAGCCGGUCUGAAAAAUCUUUUGUGAAAUUGUUAAGCUUAACUUAACAACGUGCUAAAGACACUAUUAGACUAGGGACCGGGAGAAGUUAGGAGUAUGCUGGGGGGAGCGGUAAAGUGCUAUAAUCCCCGGUAGACUACCUGUGGCGAAGGCGCCUAACUAGAACGGCUCCGACGGUGAGGGACGAAAGCCAGGGGAGCGAACCGGAUUAGAUACCCGAGUAGUUCUGGCUGUAAACGCUGCGAGCAAGGUGUUGCAUAUUCUUCGAGAAUAUGCAGUGUCGAAACGAAGGUAUUAAGCUCGCCGCCUGGGAAGUACGGUCGCAAGGCUGAAACUUAAAGGAAUUGGCGGGGGAACACCACAAGGGGUGCGGCGUGCGGUUUAAUCUAAUUCAACACAGAGAAUCUCACCAGAAGCGACGGCAGGAUGAAAGUCAGGCUGAAGGCCUUACUUGACGAGCCGAGAGGUAGUGCAUGGCCGCCGUCAGCUCGUGCUUAAAGUGUCCUGUUAAGUCAGGCAACGAGCAAGACCUAUAUCUAUAAUUGCUAACAACCUCUUUAGAGGGGUUGAGCACAUUAUAGGGACUGCCUGUGAAAACAGGAGGAAGGUGUAGGCAACGGUAGGUCUGUAUGCUCCGAAUCUUCUGGGCUACACGCGCGCAACAAUGGUAAUGACAAUGGGAUACAACUCCGAAAGGAGAAGUUAAUCCUCUAAACAUUACCUCAGUUCAGAUUGAGGAUUGUAACUCAUCCUCAUGACGAUGGAAUCCCUAGUAAUUGGGUCUCAUCAAGGCCCAGUGAAUAUGUCCCUGCUCCUUGCACACACCGCCCGUCAAACCACCUGAGUAGGGUUUAGGUGAGACUUAGUUUUCAACUAAAGCGAAUCUAAACUCUGCGAGGAGUGUUAAGUCGUCACAAGGUA
This 1436-nucleotide ribosomal RNA is filed under the name metagenome. RNAcentral's name for it is "bacterial SSU rRNA". It matches the Rfam family "Archaeal small subunit ribosomal RNA". The record is from RNAcentral.